GGAGAGGUGCGUGAGUGGCUGAAACGACCGGUUUGCUAAACCGGCAAGCGGGUAAACUGCUUCACGGGUUCGAAUCCCGUCCUCUCCGCAA
RNAcentral lists this transfer RNA (91 nucleotides) under Alistipes finegoldii DSM 17242. Its description in RNAcentral is "tRNA-Ser". It matches the Rfam family "tRNA". From Rfam's summary of the family: Transfer RNA (tRNA) molecules are approximately 80 nucleotides in length. Their secondary structure includes four short double-helical elements and three loops (D, anti-codon, and T loops). Further hydrogen bonds mediate the characteristic L-shaped molecular structure. tRNAs have two regions of fundamental functional importance: the anti-codon, which is responsible for specific mRNA codon recognition, and the 3' end, to which the tRNAs corresponding amino acid is attached (by aminoacyl-tRNA synthetases). tRNAs cope with the degeneracy of the genetic code in two manners: having more than one tRNA (with a specific anti-codon) for a particular amino acid; and 'wobble' base-pairing, i.e. permitting non-standard base-pairing at the 3rd anti-codon position. Lineage: Bacteria; Pseudomonadati; Bacteroidota; Bacteroidia; Bacteroidales; Rikenellaceae. The record is from RNAcentral.